RNAcentral lists this ribosomal RNA (382 nucleotides) under uncultured eukaryote. RNAcentral's name for it is "partial 18S ribosomal RNA". It matches the Rfam family "Eukaryotic small subunit ribosomal RNA", at positions 592 to 976 of the family's 1831-position model. The record is from RNAcentral.
UGUAAGCGUAUACCAAAGUUGUUGCAGUUAAAACGCUCGUAGUCGGAAUUUGGCAGUUCCGGAUGUGUGCACGUCGUGUGCGCACUUCGCGGGGAUUGCUUUUGUGGUCUUGCGUAGGAUGAGGCACUUUUAUUAGUGAACGUCCUCACGCAACCACUUUUUACUGUGAGAAAAUCAGAGUGCUCAAAGCAGGCAUUUGCCGUGAAUGUAUUAGCAUGGAAUAAUAGAAUAGGACUUGGUUCUAUUUUGUUGGUUUGUUGGGACUGAGUAAUGAUUAAGAGGGACAGUUGGGGGCAUUUGUAUUUCGGUGCUAGAGGUGAAAUUCUUAGAUUACCGAAAGACAAACUGCUGCGAAAGCGUCUGCCAAGGAUGCUUUCAUUGA